This 492-nucleotide ribosomal RNA is filed under the name uncultured bacterium. RNAcentral's name for it is "partial 16S ribosomal RNA". It matches the Rfam family "Bacterial small subunit ribosomal RNA", at positions 29 to 507 of the family's 1533-position model. The record is from RNAcentral.
AGUGAACGCUGGCGGUAGGCCUAUCACAUGCAAGUCGAACGGCAGCACAGUAAGAGCUUGCUCUUACGGGUGGCGAGUGGCGGACGGGUGAGGAAUACAUCGGAAUCUACUUUUUCGUGGGGGAUAACGUAGGGAAACUUACGCUAAUACCGCAUACGACCUACGGGUGAAAGCAGGGGAUCUUCGGACCUUGCGCGAUUGAAUGAGCCGAUGUCGGAUUAGCUAGUUGGCGGGGUAAAGGCCCACCAAGGCGACGAUCCGUAGCUGGUCUGAGAGGAUGAUCAGCCACACUGGAACUGAGACACGGUCCAGACUCCUACGGGAGGCAGCAGUGGGGAAUAUUGGACAAUGGGCGCAAGCCUGAUCCAGCCAUACCGCGUGGGUGAAGAAGGCCUUCGGGUUGUAAAGCCCUUUUGUUGGGAAAGAAAAGCAGCAGGCUAAUACCCCGCUGUUCUGACGGUACCCAAAGAAUAAGCACCGGCUAACUUCGUG